This 375-nucleotide ribosomal RNA is filed under the name uncultured bacterium. RNAcentral describes it as "bacterial SSU rRNA". It matches the Rfam family "Bacterial small subunit ribosomal RNA", at positions 135 to 507 of the family's 1533-position model. The record is from RNAcentral.
GGUAAGGAAUAACGUCGAAGAAUCGGCGCUAACUACCUCAUAAUGCAGGCGGAUCCGCAUGGAUAUGUUGUUAAAGGUUUACCGCCUUGGGAUAGGCUUGCGUCUGAUUAGCUAGUUGGUGUGGUAACGGCACACCAAGGCUACGAUCAGUAACUGGUCUGAGAGGAUGAUCAGUCACACUGGAACUGAGACACGGUCCAGACUCCUACGGGAGGCAGCAGUGAGGAAUAUUGGGCAAUGCUCGAAAGAGUGACCCAGCAACGCCGCGUGGAGGAUGAAGGUAUUCUAUAUCGUAAACUCCUGUGAGAGCAGACGAAAGACAGAUUAUUAAUCUGGAUGACUGUAUGCUCAGAGGAAGCCCCGGCUAACUACGUG